AAUGAACGUUGGCGGCGUGGAUUAGGCAUGCAAGUCGAGCGAGAACCCAGCAAUGGGGGACAGCGGCGCAAGGGACAGUAAUGUGUAGAUCAUCUGCCCUCAGGUCCGGGAUAGCUGCGGGAAACUGCAGGUAAUACCGGAUAACAUCUCCGGAUCAAAGGUGUGAUUCCGCCUGAGGAUGAGUCUACAUCCUAUUAGCUAGUUGGCAGGGUAACGGCCUACCAAGGCGAUGAUGGGUAGCGGGUGUGAGAGCACGACCCGCGUCAUUGGGACUGAGACACUGCCCAGACACCUACGGGUGGCUGCAGUCGAGAAUCUUCGGCAAUGGGCGCAAGCCUGACCGAGCGACGCCGCGUGCGGGAUGAAGGCCUUCGGGUUGUAAACCGCUGUCAGAGGGGAUGAAAUGCAGGUGGGUUCUCCCAUCUGUUUGACAUAGCCUCAGAGGAAGGACGGGCUAAGUUCGUGCCAGCCGCCGCCGUAACAC
This 484-nucleotide ribosomal RNA is filed under the name uncultured bacterium. RNAcentral describes it as "bacterial SSU rRNA". It matches the Rfam family "Bacterial small subunit ribosomal RNA", at positions 29 to 526 of the family's 1533-position model. The record is from RNAcentral.